This 460-nucleotide ribosomal RNA is filed under the name uncultured bacterium. RNAcentral's name for it is "partial 16S ribosomal RNA". It matches the Rfam family "Bacterial small subunit ribosomal RNA", at positions 338 to 795 of the family's 1533-position model. The record is from RNAcentral.
CCUACGGGAGGCAGCAGUGAGGAAUAUUGGUCAAUGGGCGUAAGCCUGAACCAGCCAAGUCGCGUGAGGGAUGAAGGUUCUAUGGAUCGUAAACCUCUUUUAUAAGGGAAUAAAGUGCGGGACGUGUCCCGUUUUGUAUGUACCUUAUGAAUAAGGAUCGGUUAACUCCGUGCCAGCAGCCGCGGUCAUACGGAGGACCCGAGCGUUAUCCGGAUUUAUUGGGUUUAAAGGGUGGGUAGGCGGCCUUGUAAGUCAGAGGGGAAAGUCUGGGGCACAACCAAUGAAUUGCCGUUGAAACUGGGAGGCUUGAGUGUGUGUGAGGCAGGCGGAAUGCGUGGUGUAGCGGUGAAAUGCUUAGAUAUCAGGCAGAACCCCGAUGGCGAAGGCGGCCUGCCAAGCCAUAACUGACGCUGAUGCACGAAAGCGUGGGGAUCAAACAGGAUUAGAUACCCGGGUAGUC